RNAcentral lists this ribosomal RNA (1340 nucleotides) under Campylobacter jejuni. RNAcentral's name for it is "partial 23S ribosomal RNA". It matches the Rfam family "Bacterial large subunit ribosomal RNA", at positions 1 to 1365 of the family's 2925-position model. Lineage: Bacteria; Pseudomonadati; Campylobacterota; Epsilonproteobacteria; Campylobacterales; Campylobacteraceae. The record is from RNAcentral.
AGGUAAGCUACUAAGAGCGAAUGGUGGAUGCCUUGACUGGUAAAGGCGAUGAAGGACGUACUAGACUGCGAUAAGCUACGGGGAGCUGUCAAGAAGCUUUGAUCCGUAGAUUUCCGAAUGGGGCAACCCAAUGUAUAGAGAUAUACAUUACCUAUAUAGGAGCGAACGAGGGGAAUUGAAACAUCUUAGUACCCUCAGGAAAAGAAAUCAAUAGAGAUUGCGUCAGUAGCGGCGAGCGAAAGCGCAAGAGGGCAAACCCAGUGCUUGCACUGGGGGUUGUAGGACUGCAAUGUGCAAGAGGUAAGUUUAGCAGAACAUUCUGGAAAGUAUAGCCAUAGAGGGUGAUAGUCCCGUAUGCGAAAAACAAACCUUAGCUAGCAGUAUCCUGAGUAGGGCGGGACACGAGGAAUCCUGUCUGAAUCCGGGUCGACCACGAUCCAACCCUAAAUACUAAUACCAGAUCGAUAGUGCACAAGUACCGUGAGGGAAAGGUGAAAAGAACUGAGGUGAUCAGAGUGAAAUAGAACCUGAAACCAUUUGCUUACAAUCAUUCAGAGCCCUAUGUAGCAAUACAGGGUGAUGGACUGCCUUUUGCAUAAUGAGCCUGCGAGUUGUGGUGUCUGGCAAGGUUAAGCAAACGCGAAGCCGUAGCGAAAGCGAGUCUGAAUAGGGCGCUUAGUCAGAUGCUGCAGACCCGAAACGAAGUGAUCUAUCCAUGAGCAAGUUGAAGCUAGUGUAAGAACUAGUGGAGGACUGAACCCAUAGGCGUUGAAAAGCCCCGGGAUGACUUGUGGAUAGGGGUGAAAGGCCAAUCAAACUUCGUGAUAGCUGGUUCUCUCCGAAAUAUAUUUAGGUAUAGCGUUGUGUCGUAAUAUAAGGGGGUAGAGCACUGAAUGGGCUAGGGCAUACACCAAUGUACCAAACCCUAUCAAACUCCGAAUACCUUAUAUGUAAUCACAGCAGUCAGGCGGCGAGUGAUAAAAUCCGUCGUCAAGAGGGAAACAACCCAGACUACCAGCUAAGGUCCCUAAGUCUUACUUAAGUGGAAAACGAUGUGAAGUUACUUAAACAACCAGGAGGUUGGCUUAGAAGCAGCCAUCCUUUAAAGAAAGCGUAAUAGCUCACUGGUCUAGUGAUUUUGCGCGGAAAAUAUAACGGGGCUAAAGUAAGUACCGAAGCUGUAGACUUAGUUUACUAAGUGGUAGGAGAGCGUUCUAUUUGCGUCGAAGGUAUACCGGUAAGGAGUGCUGGAGCGAAUAGAAGUGAGCAUGCAGGCAUGAGUAGCGAUAAUUAAUGUGAGAAUCAUUAACGCCGUAAACCCAAGGUUUCCUACGCGAUGC